ACGCGCGGGUGACCGAUCGCUAUUCCGCAAGGGAUAGAGGAAAGUCCGGACUCCGCAGGGCGGAGGAUCCGCUUGUCAAGGGCGGAAGCCAGGAGGCGAUCUUCUGGAAUGGAAAGUGCCACAGAAAAGAGACGUGCCUCGUGCCUGGUGCUUUGUGCCUGGUGCGAGGUAAACGGUGAAAGGGCGGUGUAAGAGACCACCGGUGGGGCGUGAGAGCGUUCCGCGCAGGGCAAACCCUCCUCGGAGCAAGAUCAAAUAGGGAACCGACCGGCUGCCCGUCGGGUAUCCGCCGCGAGGCGGACUUGAGGUUCCGGGUUGAUUGCGUCAGAUGAAUGAUCGGAGUCCUCCUUCGCCUUCGGGCUAUGGAGGAUGAACAGAAUCUGGCUUAUUCGCCGCGCGUCGCU
This 404-nucleotide RNase P RNA is filed under the name Candidatus Colisoma equi. RNAcentral's name for it is "RNase P RNA component class A". It matches the Rfam family "Bacterial RNase P class A". Rfam says of the family: Ribonuclease P (RNase P) is a ubiquitous endoribonuclease, found in archaea, bacteria and eukarya as well as chloroplasts and mitochondria. Its best characterised activity is the generation of mature 5'-ends of tRNAs by cleaving the 5'-leader elements of precursor-tRNAs. The record is from RNAcentral. Lineage: Bacteria; Pseudomonadati; Kiritimatiellota; Kiritimatiellia.